This is a small nuclear RNA of Hippoglossus stenolepis (Pacific halibut), 164 nucleotides long. RefSeq annotates it as U1 spliceosomal RNA. NCBI's taxonomy places the organism in Eukaryota, Metazoa, Chordata, Actinopteri, Pleuronectiformes, Pleuronectidae. The transcript has a single exon. The record is from RefSeq and is a predicted model, not a curated record.
AUACUUACCUGGCAGGGGAGAUACCAUGAUCAUGAAGGUGGUUCACCAGGGCGAGGCUCAGCCAUUGCGCACUUCGGUUGUGCUGACCCAUUGCGAAUUCCCCAAAUGUGGGAAUCUCGACUGCAUAAUUUGUGGUAGUGGGGACUUUGCGUCCGCGCUCACUA